This 4495-nucleotide long non-coding RNA is filed under the name Capsella rubella. RNAcentral's name for it is "long non-coding RNA (CRUB_LNC003050)". Lineage: Eukaryota; Viridiplantae; Streptophyta; Magnoliopsida; Brassicales; Brassicaceae. The record is from RNAcentral.
GAGCUCUUCUUCUCAAUUGUGUAACUAUUCAGUUCAGACUUCAGAUAAUAAAGAAUCAUUUUCUUCUUUCUUAUCAAAUGGUGUGCUCGUGACUCGGACCGAACGAAAUCGAAGAAGUGAGUUUUGGUUAAAAAGAUUUGGGGAAUUGUUUCAAUCGGAAGAUUCAAGGUAUGAUGAUGGUGUUGACACAUGGUUUGUCGCCGAUAAGGGAGUUGUCGACGGAGGACCAAGCAGAAGCUUUGACAAUUGAGUUUUAGAGUUUUAUGAUCAACUGACGGACAUGAAGAACAAGAUUCGGGCUUCAGAGAAUCGAAUAGAUACAAAACUUGAUUUUUUAGGGUAGAUAUGGGUGCGAAGAUCGGGAUUCAUGAUCAGCAAUUUGUGGACAUUGGGUAGAAAUUGGAUUUCUUGAUUAAAUCCUUACUGGGGGCGGGGGACGGUGUAUGAGGUGGGUGGCUCAAGUCAGUCCGGUGUAGUAGUGGCACAAAAUCGACAAAUUCAGGUACAAAAUUCUUCUCUGGAUCCAUUUCUUAGUGAGAUUAGGCCUGGGAUUAGAGAAAAUCUUCUCAAAAAUGUAGAUAUGGCAGCCUUUGAGAGUUCGGGAAACUUUGGUUGGAUUGCAACAGUGGAGAGGUUUAUCAGAAAUGGAGGUUAUAAUGAUGCUGAGAAAUUAGUUUUGGUAUCAGUGAGUUUACAAGGUGAAGCUUUGAGCAGGUACAAUUAGGAAAUAAACAUAAAAGAUUUUGAGAGUUGUAGUCAGUUUAAGGCAAGCUUGUUGUUGAGCUUUGGUAACUUGACGAUUAGAGGCCCAAGCCAGAGUUGGAAGGCAUAUUUCGUAACGGGUUAACUUAGGAGAUGCAAGAGUUAGUUCAUAUGCAAAAUCCAAGAAAUUUGCCUACGAUGGUUGCAGAAGCUAGAGCAUGGAGUCAAGUAUUAUCAUAAGAGUGGUUAAGAAGGAGCUGUUGUUAGCUAAUAAAGAGAGUAAUGAGGGAUACAAUUCGGAUUACAAAGCUCACACCAAUUACAAUACCAAUAAUUGGAAAAUGAAAAUCAUUGUUACAGAUUCUUUACAAGGGGCUGAGAAACAAGUGGGUAGAGUAGACCACAAACCAAGAAGACAUGAUUCCAGGGCGGAAUUAGAUGAGAAGCCAAGAAAAAUAAUAUACUUUAAGUAUGAUGGAGCUUGGCACAAAGAUCAUAAAUGUCCAAACAAAGAAUUGCGAGUGUUGACUGUUUUGAAUGGUUAUGAAGUAGAGGUCUUGGAAGGGAACAUUGAAGAGGAUAUUGUUGAAGAACCUAUAUGUGAAUGUAUUACACUUUCAUUUUCUUCGUAUAUCUUCACCUUCAAUGACUAAAGUGAGGGGUAUGGUUGGAACUGCUAGUGUCAUUAUUAUGCUCGACAGUGGGGCAACCCACAAUUUUAUAUCUCCAGCAGCUAUUACGAAACUGAGGUUGAAAUGUAGAGAAGAUCCAAACUUUAAUGUGAGGCUGGGAAAAAGGAUCACAGUCCAAGGAAUGAGAGUUUGUGAAAAGUAAGUUUUACAGUUCAAGAUUUGGAGUUUACAACGGAUUUUGUGUAACUAGAGCUAGGCCAAAUUGACAUUAUUUUGGGAGUCUAUUAGUUGAGUACGUUGGGUGAUUGCAAUGUAAAUUGGAAGAAAAAUGAAGUGUCAUUUCUGUACAAAGAUAAGACAAUGUCUUUAAAAGGAGAAUCUGACUUUAACAUUUCCAAGAUGUCCCUGAAGUCAAAUUCCAGUCGAUGAGGUGCCCGGAGGCGUAUCGGGUGGACCUGGCGGCCCAUUACUUUGCCGGUGAUGCACAUUUGUGGUGGCAGAGUGUGCUGGCCACGAGGGGUUAGGGAUUGGCAGAAUGGGAAGAUUUCAUGGCAGAGUUUAAUGCCAAAUAUUUCCCGGCAGAGGCACUGGAUCGGAUGGAGUCGCAGUUCUUGGCGUUGACUAAGGACGACCAGUCAGUGCGGGAGUAUCACUCGGAGUUUUGCGACUCUUGGUGUACUCGGGCCGUGCAGGAGAUCCUGAGCAGAUGCAUGUGGGUCAGUUUAUGAAGGGUCUCAGCCCUGACAUGAGGGUACGGUGCAAGGUGCGGGCCUAUGCAUCGCGUGUGGAGUUGGUUGAGGUGGCGGCGGGGAUCGAGGACAAGUUGAGGAGUCACGGGGUGAUUCCUAAUCCGUCGGUGCAGCCGAAAAAGACCCAGCCGCAGACAGUUCCGAGCAGAGGUGGCAAACCUGUUCAGGGACAGAAGAGGUAGUGGGAUGUCACUUUCAGAGUGAGUCAGGGUGAUCGGAAGUGCUUCAGGUGUGCGAGCACGGAUCAUAGGAUGGCGAACUGCCGGAAGAAGAGCGAGCCGUGGGUGGAUACCCGUGUCUGUUACCACUAUAGAAUGACGGGGCACAUCAAGACGAGGUGUCCUAAGUUACAGCAGAUGGCGGUAGCAGCGGUGCAGCCGGUUAUGCAGCCAGUGGUGCAGUAGUGGUGCAGCCAGGAUUGCAACUAGGAGGGCAGUCUUUGGCUCAGUUGGGAGCACCGCUGGUGGCACAAAUCGAAAGAUCGCGGGGGUACUCGACCGUGGAGACAGGAGAGCCAAGCACUGGACGGCCGAUCACAGGUUUACUUCUUAGACUCAGUCUGUUUCCUUCUGUCGUUUUAGAAUUCGUGUUGUUUUUCCUAUGAUUCUGGGGUGGGCGGUCUUAGUGAUGAACGAUCCAAAAUCACAACGGGUCUUCAUGAACGAUUAUGAUUUCGGAUCGUUCUUCUUCAAUUCUGGCUCCAUAGAUCUUCAUGAAAUGGUCACUUUUCGAGUGAAUACUCAAUGUUGGUCGAGAAAAGUCUUCAAAUGGUCGAUGGAAUUGAACAUGGUAAUGUCGGGAUGGGUCGUCGUGGAGAGUCUUCAAUCUGGUCCGUUGAUUUCUGAUUUCUCCUGAACCACUAGUCUUCUUAGGGGUGAUUUUAUGAUGAAUAAUCAACCCUAGGCCUUGCGCUUGAUCAGAACUCCAUAUUCGCCAAAAUUCUCCAUUUUGGUCCGGUACGGUUUGGUUGAUGCUUGAACCGGCUGGUGUGGUCAACUCCGGGUCUUGUUUGGUUCUGAUGACCUCAUCAACGUGAGGUAUAUCUGAUCGAUAGAUAUGCUCGGGGACGUUUAGACUUAUUUGCUCGGAUAUGAUGUGAUGGCCUCAGAUGACGAUUCGAGUGCACGCUUGAGGGUGACGACCCGAGAGCGAGCGUGAGACUUCCCGGAUACCGUAGCUAGAAGGCUGGUGGCCUAAUAGUGAGCCGGUAUGACUUGAGGGUUGCGACCUGAGAGUGGGGGGAGUGGUAUGAUCCAUGGGUUGCGACCUAUGGACGGGGGAGGUAGGUGUGUAUGAGCAAAUAGGGUCUGGAACGUGAGUAUAUUGAUUAGAUAGGGGCCUCGGUGAGGUCAGUUGUGUACUGACGGACGUUUUAAAUGAUUUGAGGACGAAUCCUAGUUAGUGGGGGAGAAUUGUAAUGUCCGUUUUCUAUUUUGGGUGGUGUCGAUCCUGAGGGGUGUCGCGAGGGGUGUCGCUCGACACCAGUAAUUGUUCGGUUUGGUUGGUUUGAUUUUAACUGUGUUUUGAUUGAGGUUGGUUAGGGUUUAACCAUAGGUCGUGUUUAGCUCAGGGGUAGCCGCUUUUAGAAGUUAACAAAGAGCAAAGAGUAAGAUUUGAUCUUUUGGUGCCUUUGAGUGAGUGUUUUGUGAGUUUGAGGCUUGUUCUUGGUGGUUGAAGGCUGGUAAAGGCAAGAUCCAUGCUGUGUGGUGUUAGAGGAGGCAGAUCCUUCCUUGUUCUUCCCUAUUUCGUUGCUAUUCUUUCUUGUAAAAGGUGAGUGCAUGACCAAGGCUUAUCUAAGCAUGUUUGAUCAUUGUUUUGGGUAUUUUAAUGAUUGUUUCAUUAAUUCAUUUGCUUGUUUGGAUGUUUAUAUGAUGAUUGAUGCCUAUGGAACCCCUUGGAGACUCGCUCAUAUCAUGAUGGUGAUUUGGAGAGGAGAUCCAGCGAGACACGCUAGUUUGAGCGACCACAGAGCGUCGCUCGACACCAAUGUUUUGUUCCGCGAGGAUAGUUACGACUCGCGAACGGAGUGUCGAGGCCGGUGUCGACCGCGAGGGUCAACAGCGAGUGUCGAUCGACACCAGUGGUGGGUGUCGAUCGACAUCGAUAGUCAGAAGCGUUUCUUGUUUUUAUUUUUUAUUGGGUGUUUGGUUCUUUUCCUUGGAUAAUGGUUGGAUGUGCUUGUGUGUAUAGCCAGUGGUGGGAUGAUUGCCUCACUAAGUAUUUAUGAAAUACUUAUACAUCUCUUUCUUUGAUGCAGGUAAAAGCAAAGUGUGAUCCGUGGAAUCAUGGCGAGGAGAGGAGGAUGAUCUAGGCGCUCAUUGGUGUUUUAGAUUAUUGUAGGAUUUUUUAGGGUGUUAGAAUGGAAUUUAGAAGCAUGUUAGGAUGAUUAUGUUUCUGGAAUAAUGAUGGUUG